RNAcentral lists this long non-coding RNA (201 nucleotides) under Mytilus galloprovincialis (Mediterranean mussel). The record is from RNAcentral. Lineage: Eukaryota; Metazoa; Mollusca; Bivalvia; Mytilida; Mytilidae.
UAUGCCUUUUUGUGCAUCUUUGUUACAUAUUUGAUUGUUUUAAUAGUGAUUAAGAUUAUAAUACAAUGUUGACUACAGUAUCCGUUUAGACAUAUUUACCUAUUAUGUCUGUUUGUUUUUGUUCACAAGUCGUUGUCAAUAUAAUAGAAUUUGAUGCAUCUGUCAUACAAGUGAGAGGUUUAGCUAGCUUUAAAACGAGGG